RNAcentral lists this ribosomal RNA (2816 nucleotides) under Klebsiella pneumoniae. RNAcentral's name for it is "partial 23S ribosomal RNA". It matches the Rfam family "Bacterial large subunit ribosomal RNA". Lineage: Bacteria; Pseudomonadati; Pseudomonadota; Gammaproteobacteria; Enterobacterales; Enterobacteriaceae. The record is from RNAcentral.
GGUUAAGCGACUAAGCGUACACGGUGGAUGCCCUGGCAGUCAGAGGCGAUGAAGGACGUGCUAAUCUGCGAAAAGCGUCGGUAAGGUGAUAUGAACCGUUAUAACCGGCGAUGUCCGAAUGGGGAAACCCAGUGCAAUUCGUUGCACUAUCGUUAACUGAAUACAUAGGUUAACGAGGCGAACCGGGGGAACUGAAACAUCUAAGUACCCCGAGGAAAAGAAAUCAACCGAGAUUCCCCCAGUAGCGGCGAGCGAACGGGGAGCAGCCCAGAGUCUGAAUCAGCUUGUGUGUUAGUGGAACGGUCUGGAAAGUCCGACGGUACAGGGUGAUAGUCCCGUACACCAAAAUGCACAGGUUGUGAACUCGAAGAGUAGGGCGGGACACGUGGUAUCCUGUCUGAAUAUGGGGGGACCAUCCUCCAAGGCUAAAUACUCCUGACUGACCGAUAGUGAACCAGUACCGUGAGGGAAAGGCGAAAAGAACCCCGGCGAGGGGAGUGAAAAAGAACCUGAAACCGUGUACGUACAAGCAGUGGGAGCACCUUCGGGUGUGACUGCGUACCUUUUGUAUAAUGGGUCAGCGACUUAUAUUCUGUAGCAAGGUUAACCGUAUAGGGGAGCCGCAGGGAAACCGAGUCUUAACUGGGCGUUAAGUUGCAGGGUAUAGACCCGAAACCCGGUGAUCUAGCCAUGGGCAGGUUGAAGGUUGGGUAACACUAACUGGAGGACCGAACCGACUAAUGUUGAAAAAUUAGCGGAUGACUUGUGGCUGGGGGUGAAAGGCCAAUCAAACCGGGAGAUAGCUGGUUCUCCCCGAAAGCUAUUUAGGUAGCGCCUCGUGAAUUCAUCUUCGGGGGUAGAGCACUGUUUCGGCUAGGGGGUCAUCCCGACUUACCAACCCGAUGCAAACUACGAAUACCGAAGAAUGUUAUCACGGGAGACACACGGCGGGUGCUAACGUCCGUCGUGAAGAGGGAAACAACCCAGACCGCCAGCUAAGGUCCCAAAGUCAUGGUUAAGUGGGAAACGAUGUGGGAAGGCACAGACAGCCAGGAUGUUGGCUUAGAAGCAGCCAUCAUUUAAAGAAAGCGUAAUAGCUCACUGGUCGAGUCGGCCUGCGCGGAAGAUGUAACGGGGCUAAACCAUGCACCGAAGCUGCGGCAGCGACACUAUGUGUUGUUGGGUAGGGGAGCGUUCUGUAAGCCUGCGAAGGUGUGCUGUGAGGCAUGCUGGAGGUAUCAGAAGUGCGAAUGCUGACAUAAGUAACGAUAAAGCGGGUGAAAAGCCCGCUCGCCGGAAGACCAAGGGUUCCUGUCCAACGUUAAUCGGGGCAGGGUGAGUCGACCCCUAAGGCGAGGCCGAAAGGCGUAGUCGAUGGGAAACAGGUUAAUAUUCCUGUACUUGGUGUUACUGCGAAGGGGGGACGGAGAAGGCUAUGUUAGCCGGGCGACGGUUGUCCCGGUUUAAGCAUGUAGGCUGGUUGUCCAGGCAAAUCCGGAUAAUCAAGGCUGAGGUGUGAUGACGAGGCACUACGGUGCUGAAGUAACAAAUGCCCUGCUUCCAGGAAAAGCCUCUAAGCAUCAGGUAACAUCAAAUCGUACCCCAAACCGACACAGGUGGUCAGGUAGAGAAUACCAAGGCGCUUGAGAGAACUCGGGUGAAGGAACUAGGCAAAAUGGUGCCGUAACUUCGGGAGAAGGCACGCUGGUGUGUAGGUGAAGCCCCUGCGGGUGGAGCUGAGACCAGUCGAAGAUACCAGCUGGCUGCAACUGUUUAUUAAAAACACAGCACUGUGCAAACACGAAAGUGGACGUAUACGGUGUGACGCCUGCCCGGUGCCGGAAGGUUAAUUGAUGGGGUUAUCCGUAAGGAGAAGCUCUUGAUCGAAGCCCCGGUAAACGGCGGCCGUAACUAUAACGGUCCUAAGGUAGCGAAAUUCCUUGUCGGGUAAGUUCCGACCUGCACGAAUGGCGUAAUGAUGGCCAGGCUGUCUCCACCCGAGACUCAGUGAAAUUGAACUCGCUGUGAAGAUGCAGUGUACCCGCGGCAAGACGGAAAGACCCCGUGAACCUUUACUAUAGCUUGACACUGAACAUUGAGCCUUGAUGUGUAGGAUAGGUGGGAGGCUUUGAAGCGUGGACGCCAGUCUGCGUGGAGCCAACCUUGAAAUACCACCCUUUAAUGUUUGAUGUUCUAACGUUGGCCCCUGACCGGGGUUGCGGACAGUGUCUGGUGGGUAGUUUGACUGGGGCGGUCUCCUCCCAAAGCGUAACGGAGGAGCACGAAGGUUAGCUAAUCCUGGUCGGACAUCAGGAGGUUAGUGCAAUGGCAUAAGCUAGCUUGACUGCGAGCGUGACGGCGCGAGCAGGUGCGAAAGCAGGUCAUAGUGAUCCGGUGGUUCUGAAUGGAAGGGCCAUCGCUCAACGGAUAAAAGGUACUCCGGGGAUAACAGGCUGAUACCGCCCAAGAGUUCAUAUCGACGGCGGUGUUUGGCACCUCGAUGUCGGCUCAUCACAUCCUGGGGCUGAAGUAGGUCCCAAGGGUAUGGCUGUUCGCCAUUUAAAGUGGUACGCGAGCUGGGUUUAGAACGUCGUGAGACAGUUCGGUCCCUAUCUGCCGUGGGCGCUGGAGAAUUGAGGGGGGCUGCUCCUAGUACGAGAGGACCGGAGUGGACGCAUCACUGGUGUUCGGGUUGUCAUGCCAAUGGCACUGCCCGGUAGCUAAAUGCGGAAGAGAUAAGUGCUGAAAGCAUCUAAGCACGAAACUUGCCCCGAGAUGAGUUCUCCCUGAGACUUUAAGUCUCCUGAAGGAACGUU